GACGAACGCUGGCGGCGUGCCUAAUACAUGCAAGUCGAACGAGAGCGACCGGUGCUUGCACUGGUCAAUCUAGUGGCGAACGGGUGAGUAACACGUGGGUAACCUGCCCAUCAGAGGGGGAUAACAUCCGGAAACGGAUGCUAAAACCGCAUAGGUCUUCGAACCGCAUGGUUUGAAGAGGAAAAGAGGCGCAAGCUUCUGCUGAUGGAUGGACCCGCGGUGCAUUAGCUAGUUGGUGAGGUAACGGCUCACCAAGGCCGUGAUGCAUAGCCGACCUGAGGGGGUGAUCGGCCACAUUGGGACUGAGACACGGCCCAAACUCCGACGGGAGGCAGCAGUAGGGAAUCUUCCGCAAUGGACGCAAGUCUGACGGAGCAACGCCGCGUGAGUGAAGAAGGUUUUCGGAUCGUAAAACUCCGUUGUUAGAGAAGAACAAGUGCUAGAGUAACUGUUAGCGCCUUGACGGUAUCUAACCAGAAAGCACGGCUAACUACGUG
Molecule: ribosomal RNA, 497 nt
Filed under: uncultured bacterium
Lineage: Bacteria
Description: partial 16S ribosomal RNA
Rfam family: Bacterial small subunit ribosomal RNA
Source: RNAcentral